AGCUUUGCGCAGUGGCAGUAUCGUAAACGAUGAGGUUUAUCCGAGUUGCGAUUAUUGCUAAUUGAAAACUAUACCCAAUACCCCGCCAUGCGGACGUGAAAUACCGUCCACAUAGGCAAUUUCUGAAGGAAACUACGGUUU
RNAcentral lists this small nuclear RNA (141 nucleotides) under Oikopleura dioica. RNAcentral describes it as "U4 spliceosomal RNA". It matches the Rfam family "U4 spliceosomal RNA". From Rfam's summary of the family: U4 small nuclear RNA (U4 snRNA) is a component of the major U2-dependent spliceosome. The structure of U4 snRNA from yeast and human has been reported. The record is from Rfam by way of RNAcentral. Lineage: Eukaryota; Metazoa; Chordata; Appendicularia; Copelata; Oikopleuridae.